This 250-nucleotide ribosomal RNA is filed under the name uncultured bacterium. Its description in RNAcentral is "partial 16S ribosomal RNA". It matches the Rfam family "Bacterial small subunit ribosomal RNA", at positions 524 to 773 of the family's 1533-position model. The record is from RNAcentral.
GACGUAGUAGGCGAGCGUUAUCCGGAAUCACUGGGCGUAACGCGCAUGUAGGCGGCUGUACAAGUCGUGUGUUAAAGCCCCCGGCUCAACUGGGGGAGGUCAUGCGAGACUGUGCGGCUAGAGGGCAGGAGAGGCACGUGGAACUCCCGGUGUAGCGGUGGAAUGCGUAGAGAUCGGGAAGAACAUCAGUGGCGAAGGCGACGUGCUGGGCUGCACCUGACGCUGAGAUGCGAAAGUGUGGGGAGCAAAC